Molecule: non-coding RNA, 75 nt
Organism: Myotis davidii
Lineage: Eukaryota; Metazoa; Chordata; Mammalia; Chiroptera; Vespertilionidae
Source: Rfam
GGCGGUUCUCAGAUGAUACACCCUGGAAUCGGGCUCCCUCUUCUCUGGUUCUGGGUGCAUCACACAAGAACUGCU